UUUAUGGAGAGUUUGAUCCUGGCUCAGGAUGAACGCUGGCGGCGUGCCUAAUACAUGCAAGUCGAGCGAACAGACAAGGAGCUUGCUCCUUUGACGUUAGCGGCGGACGGGUGAGUAACACGUGGGUAACCUACCUAUAAGACUGGGAUAACUUCGGGAAACCGGAGCUAAUACCGGAUAAUAUUUCGAACCGCAUGGUUCGAUAGUGAAAGAUGGUUUUGCUAUCACUUAUAGAUGGACCCGCGCCGUAUUAGCUAGUUGGUAAGGUAACGGCUUACCAAGGCGACGAUACGUAGCCGACCUGAGAGGGUGAUCGGCCACACUGGAACUGAGACACGGUCCAGACUCCUACGGGAGGCAGCAGUAGGGAAUCUUCCGCAAUGGGCGAAAGCCUGACGGAGCAACGCCGCGUGAGUGAUGAAGGUCUUCGGAUCGUAAAACUCUGUUAUUAGGGAAGAACAUACGUGUAAGUAACUAUGCACGUCUUGACGGUACCUAAUCAGAAAGCCACGGCUAACUACGUGCCAGCAGCCGCGGUAAUACGUAGGUGGCAAGCGUUAUCCGGAAUUAUUGGGCGUAAAGCGCGCGUAGGCGGUUUUUUAAGUCUGAUGUGAAAGCCCACGGCUCAACCGUGGAGGGUCAUUGGAAACUGGAAAACUUGAGUGCAGAAGAGGAAAGUGGAAUUCCAUGUGUAGCGGUGAAAUGCGCAGAGAUAUGGAGGAACACCAGUGGCGAAGGCGACUUUCUGGUCUGUAACUGACGCUGAUGUGCGAAAGCGUGGGGAUCAAACAGGAUUAGAUACCCUGGUAGUCCACGCCGUAAACGAUGAGUGCUAAGUGUUAGGGGGUUUCCGCCCCUUAGUGCUGCAGCUAACGCAUUAAGCACUCCGCCUGGGGAGUACGACCGCAAGGUUGAAACUCAAAGGAAUUGACGGGGACCCGCACAAGCGGUGGAGCAUGUGGUUUAAUUCGAAGCAACGCGAAGAACCUUACCAAAUCUUGACAUCCUUUGACAACUCUAGAGAUAGAGCCUUCCCCUUCGGGGGACAAAGUGACAGGUGGUGCAUGGUUGUCGUCAGCUCGUGUCGUGAGAUGUUGGGUUAAGUCCCGCAACGAGCGCAACCCUUAAGCUUAGUUGCCAUCAUUAAGUUGGGCACUCUAAGUUGACUGCCGGUGACAAACCGGAGGAAGGUGGGGAUGACGUCAAAUCAUCAUGCCCCUUAUGAUUUGGGCUACACGUGCUACAAUGGACAAUACAAAGGGCAGCGAAACCGCGAGGUCAAGCAAAUCCCAUAAAGUUGUUCUCAGUUCGGAUUGUAGUCUGCAACUCGACUACAUGAAGCUGGAAUCGCUAGUAAUCGUAGAUCAGCAUGCUACGGUGAAUACGUUCCCGGGUCUUGUACACACCGCCCGUCACACCACGAGAGUUUGUAACACCCGAAGCCGGUGGAGUAACCAUUUGGAGCUAGCCGUCGAAGGUGGGACAAAUGAUUGGGGUGAAGUCGUAACAAGGUAGCCGUAUCGGAAGGUGCGGCUGGAUCACCUCCUUUCU
RNAcentral lists this ribosomal RNA (1551 nucleotides) under Staphylococcus haemolyticus. Its description in RNAcentral is "bacterial SSU rRNA". It matches the Rfam family "Bacterial small subunit ribosomal RNA". The record is from RNAcentral. Lineage: Bacteria; Bacillati; Bacillota; Bacilli; Caryophanales; Staphylococcaceae.